GACGAACGCUGGCGGGAUGCCUUACACAUGCAAGUCGAACGGAGUGGCGAACGGGUGAGUAAUGUAUCGGAACGUGCCCAGUAGCGGGGGAUAACUACGCGAAAGCGUAGCUAAUACCGCAUACUAUUGGAGCGGCCGAUUUCGGAUUAGCUAGUUGGUGGGGUAACGGCUCCACAAGGCGACGAACCGUAGCUGGUUUUAGAGGACGACCAGCCACACUGGGACGGAGACACGGCCCAGACUCCUACGGGAGGCAGCAGUGGGGAAUUUUGGACAAUUGGGGAAAACCUGAUCCAGCCAUCCCGAGUGGGCGAUGAAGGCCUUCGGGUUGUAAAGCACUUUUGGCAGGAAAGCGGUACCUGCAGAAUAAGCACCGGCUAACUACGUGCCAGCAGCCGCGGUAAUUC
This 407-nucleotide ribosomal RNA is filed under the name uncultured bacterium. RNAcentral describes it as "partial 16S ribosomal RNA". It matches the Rfam family "Bacterial small subunit ribosomal RNA", at positions 28 to 526 of the family's 1533-position model. The record is from RNAcentral.